GGUGAAAGCCAAUCGAACCAGGAGAUAGCUCGUUCUCUCCGAAAUGCAUUUAGGUGCAGCCUUGAUUGUUUAAAUAUGGGGGUAGAGCACUGCAAUGGUCUAGCGGGCAUAUUGCUUAGCGAAAUCAAUCAAACUCCGAAUACCAUAUUUCAAGAGAUCAGGAGUGAGACUAUGGGUACUAAGAUCCAUGGUCAAAAGGGAAACAGCCCAGACCACCAACUAAGGUCCCAAAUUAUAUCUAAGUGGGAAAGGAGGUGGAGAUUCUGAAACAACCAGGAUGUUGGCUUAGAAGCAGCCAUACAUUUAAAGAGUGCGUAAUAGCUCACUGGUCGAGAGUCUCUGCGCCGACNAUGUAACGGGGCUAAGAUAUAAACCGAAGUUGUGGAGUAUACACUAUGUGUAGACUGGUAGGAGAGCGUUCCGUAGGCCGUUGAAGGAUAAGGGGUAACCCAAUCUGGAGGUAUCGGAAGUGAGAAUGCAGGAAUGAGUAGCGAGAAAGAGGGUGAGAAUCCCUCUCGCCGGAAAACCAAGGUUUCCAGAGUAAAGCUUGUCUUCUCUGGGUAAGCCGGGACCUAAGCCGAGGCUAGAUUGCGUAGGCGAAUGGAAAGCAGUUUAAUAUUACUGCGCCACUAUAAUUUGUUUGAGAGAUGGAGGGACGCAGAAGGGUAUGUGCGCAGACUGUUGGAUAUGUCUGUGUAAGCAUGUAGGAUGGAACCGCAGGAAAAUCCACGGUUUUAGAUCUGAGGUGUGAUGCGGAGUGUUUGUAAUGAACACGAAGGUACAAAUCCCACGCUGCCGAGAAAAGCUUCUAUUGAGAAUUAUAGUGCCCGUACCGUAAACCGACACAGGUGGUUAGGAUGAGAAAUCUAAGGCGUACAGGCUAACUCUCGCUAAGGAACUCUGCAAAAUGGCCCCGUAACUUCGGGAGAAGGGGUGCCAUUAAAGGUGAUAGAAACACGCGUUCUUGAGCUUUUGAUGGCCGCAGUGAAGAGAUUCNAGCNACUGUUUAGCAAAAACACAGGUCUAUGCUAAGCUGAAAGGCGAUGUAUAUGGGCUGACACCUGCCCAGUGCCGGAAGGUUAAGAGGAGGGUUUAGCGACUCAAAUUGAAGCCCCGGUGAACGGCGGCCGUAACUAUAACGGUCCUAAGGUAGCGAAAUUACCUUGUCGGGUAAGUUCCGACCUGCACGAAUGGUGUAAUGACUCGAAUGCUGUUCUUGGCGGGAGGCCUGGUGAAAUUGUACUACCCGGGAAGAACCGUCU
This 1262-nucleotide ribosomal RNA is filed under the name Psychrilyobacter atlanticus. RNAcentral's name for it is "bacterial LSU rRNA". It matches the Rfam family "Bacterial large subunit ribosomal RNA", at positions 819 to 2066 of the family's 2925-position model. The record is from RNAcentral. Lineage: Bacteria; Fusobacteriati; Fusobacteriota; Fusobacteriia; Fusobacteriales; Fusobacteriaceae.